GGGGUGUAUGCUCAGCUUUGGGUUGUGCUAAGCGGUACUAAUUAACCGUGAGGCUUAACCUUACAACGCCGAAG
RNAcentral lists this ribosomal RNA (74 nucleotides) under Salmonella enterica subsp. enterica serovar Enteritidis. RNAcentral's name for it is "partial 23S ribosomal RNA". Lineage: Bacteria; Pseudomonadati; Pseudomonadota; Gammaproteobacteria; Enterobacterales; Enterobacteriaceae. The record is from RNAcentral.